RNAcentral lists this small nuclear RNA (106 nucleotides) under Stegodyphus mimosarum. The record is from RNAcentral. Lineage: Eukaryota; Metazoa; Arthropoda; Arachnida; Araneae; Eresidae.
ACUCGUUUCGGUACUUGCAUUUACUAAAUUUGGAACGGUACAGAGAAGAUCGGCAUGGUCUCUGCGCAAGGAUAACGCUCAAUAUCUUUAAAAGUUCCACAUACGA